Long non-coding RNA from Mya arenaria, 1478 nucleotides. RefSeq lists it as uncharacterized. The record is from RefSeq and is a predicted model, not a curated record. Lineage: Eukaryota; Metazoa; Mollusca; Bivalvia; Myida; Myidae. The transcript has 3 exons.
UGUCAAUGUGGCAAAAAAUCCCGUAAAGUUCAGUUAUUUUUCAAGAAGGGAACAAUUAAUGUAAAUGUGUUCAUAGAAUUAUUUAAUUGUGAAUUCUCCAUAAAAAUUGGACUUUUACGUUUAGCCGGUAUAAGUGAUACGAAAAAUAUAGUUGACUCUAUUUCUUCCGAAGAAACAUGGUGGUGAAAAGAGUCAUAUUAGCGGCGGUGAUGUGCGUGGUAUUGAUGAUGACAGAUCAAAUGUGUUCAGCGCGGUCCAUAAAUGCAGACACACCCUUAGAUUCGAGCAUGCGCAAUGAAAAGCGAUCCCCAGUCGGAACCCAGAUGAUAUCUAUGCUGGAGCAUUGCCUAUCGCCAAAGGGGCAGUUCGACAUGAGAUGCCUACCAGCAAGAUUCAGGAUACUGAGGGAAAAUUAAUUAUAAUUUCUGGAAUAGAAUAUAAUAAAUGGCUCAUGUGUUAAAUGGCAAAACAAGAUCUGUGGUCAAGUGAUCAAGAGAUGGUUUCAAUUGUGUAUUUAAAACGGCAUAUUUUCCUUUUCGAAUUUCAAUGAAUGUACAGUCAUAUAAUUACCUGUACUAUAAAUGUUAACGAAGACACGAAACAAACAGCUGUUUUUCAAAAAAUAUAUCGCAAUAUACUAUAUGGAAUAUAGUAAUAGGAAAUGAAACAAGUACAAUUAACAAUCCAUCGAAGUAGAAGGCAAUAAUCUGUAACUGUACGUAAACACUCAUAUAGUUGUACUUAAUUAAGUAGUUUUAUAAUAACUUGUUUCUUUAUCGGAAAGAGUCCUGAAAUAAAAGAUGAAAUAACUAUUGCUUUAUGUAUGUUUUCUUGAAAUCAUUUCGUAACUUGAUAAGAACAUCUGAUAAGUGAGAUAUAAUUGUUGUCACUCAUUGUUUUGAAACUGUUACUAGUUUUUCUGUCUAAAACAGACGUCAGCUUAGCCAAAACUUGGACAACUCACGAAUCACCUCAGUUCCAGUUAUGUUGAGUAUUGUCAUUAUGUUUCCCCCAUUAAUGGGGAGACAUAUUGUUUUUGCCCUGUCCGUCCGUCCGUCAGUCCGUCCGUACGUCACACUUCGUUUCCGCUCUAUUUUAAUAACUAAAGAACGCUUGCACCCAGGAACUUCAUACUUGGUAUGCUGGUUGGUCAUGACUAGUAGAUGACCCCUAUUGAUUUUAAGAUCAGAAGGUCAAAGGUCAAGGUCGCAGUAGAUAUUCACUAUUUAAUACGGGUGAAUAAACCAAACUUCACUGUUUUUUUUCGUCUCCAGUCCAAAAUUACAAAUUUCAUGUCCAUCAUUUAUUUUUUCUCAUAUACGACCACACAAUAGGGGAGACAAGCGCUUUUUCAAAAAAGCAAUCUCAAGUUUUGAUCUAUUUUAAGGCAAGCAUUUAAAAUGAAAAGUGUUUGUUGCUGUGACAUAUUAGUGUCAUCUCGUAUAUCAGUUUUAGUGCCAAUUCGGUAAAAUAGAUUU